This 440-nucleotide ribosomal RNA is filed under the name uncultured bacterium. RNAcentral's name for it is "partial 16S ribosomal RNA". It matches the Rfam family "Bacterial small subunit ribosomal RNA", at positions 338 to 795 of the family's 1533-position model. The record is from RNAcentral.
CCUACGGGAGGCAGCAGUGGGGGAUAUUGCACAAUGGGGGAAACCCUGAUGCAGCGACGCCGCGUGGGUGAAGAAGCGCCUCGGCGCGUAAAGCCCUGUCAGCAGGGAAGAAAAUGACGGUACCUGAAGAAGAAGCCCCGGAUAACUACGUGCCAGCAGCCGCGGUAAUACGUAGGGGGCAAGCGUUAUCCGGAUGUACUGGGCGUAAAGGGGGCGCAGCCGGCGAUGCAAGCCAGGAGUGAAAGCCCGGGGCCCAACCCCGGGACUGCUCGUGGAACUGCGUGGCUAGAGUGCAGGAGGGGCAGGCGGAAUUCCUGGUGUAGCGGUGAAAUGCGUAGAUAUCAGGAGGAACACCGGUGGCGAAGGCGGCCUGCUGGCCUGCAACUGACGUUGAGGCCCGAAAGCGUGGGGAGCAAACAGGAUUAGAUACCCGGGUAGUC